CUAAGCGGUUAUGGUAAGCGGGCACGCGGUGCGAGCAGGACGCCUUGUACGUUUUCCCAGUUUAGGGAUCGGCGGUUGGAAGGGGCAGUUCGGACGCCGGGGAGGCGGAGCAGAGGAGGGGCAGGGAGGAGAGGUUGCGGCGGCGGGAGCUACGCGGUAAUCCCGCGGCAGCUGUGCAGUCCCUAUGUGGCACUACCUCGAGUCGGGCUCGGGUCGUCUUCGGUGAGGAUUGGUACAAGCGAGUUAACUGUUCUCUUCCCGUCGCCUAACCAGCUCCCGUGGGCGUACCGGAGCAGCGGCGACAGUGGACCUAAGCGAUCGGCGGCGGAACUCAGUGUGGGCAGCGGCGGCGCUCAGUCGAGGUAGUAACGACGUUCCUUAGAGCAGGGGCCGUUCCUUUUAAGGAUCCCUAAAAUAACUGCCUCCGUAGUGAUAGACCACGACCUAAUAGGUAAAAACGUCGUGAUCGUUACGAUACAGCGAGUACGGUUCGUAGCAAAGUGUAAGUCCCCCCAAAUGAGAGGGAGUUGCAUUCGCAGCUACGUUACCUAUAACUAAAACCGAACCCACGUUUAACUCAUGUCUGCUGAAAGAUCAAAUCCGUAGUAAAGCUUUAACAAACCACAGGUACUUAAAGGGCUACUCGAACCGGACGUGGUACGACGGAGUACAUCCUAAAACCGCGAGCACUAGAAGGAACGAAUCCACUGAACAGGGUUAGGAAGAAGGGGAGGGUAGACUAGAGAGAGAGAGAGAGAGAGAGAGAGUCCAAACUGCACACAAGAUCAAAUUCGAAUUGUACUAAAAAACUAUUUGUAAUGUACCUCCUGCUACCAAAAGACAUUUUGUUCGGUAAGUUUCCUUUUAUUACUAUGAACUCAAGUAACACAAAACACACUAAACGUGGUACCAACCUAAAAACCUGUUUACCCGUAACAACGAAGUGACGAUAUACACCAACUACGAAUCAAGUCUUUGAGCCAAGCUCAAUUUAACGAAAUCCGGUAGGAAGGAUAGAGAUGAUAAUUUCGCCUUAGCUUGCAGCACUACCAAGUUGGAGAAAAGUCAGAGUGUUGGGGAGGCGCGUACUAUCUUUUUUCUUUUCUUUUCUUUUAUUUUUUGGGUGUUCAUGCGUGCAGGGUUGAGGGUGGAGGGUGAAGGGUGAGGAAGGCGGUCUAGGAGCGAGAGCUAGGCCACAGAGACGUCUCUGCUUAGCGGCGGCGGCCGGAUAAGGGCGGAUGCAGCUGGAACUCGCCGUUGUGUUACGUCGGUCUGAAGAUAUGAUCUAACCUCGCCACCUAGAUGUAGAUAGAGAAGAAGUGGCUCAGGUGCUCCAUGAGCUGCACCGUCCCCGCUGCUUGUCCUCGUGGUGUAGCUGUUGUCGCUGCUUGCUGCCGGGUCCACAACGGUAGAGGAAUAGAAGCUAGGUUGGGUAGAAGGGGAGCAUAGGACAUGAGGGCGUGGGGGAGUAAGAAGAGAGGGCACCGUCCCUGGCUGCUCAACGUUGCCUGCCCCCCGUCAGGCCGACGACCGCAUUUCCUGCUGCCCACCACCAUCCCGGCACCCUUCUCGUCCAUCUGCCUCUUCCAACGGAUACCUUUAGACCGUUCACCGUCGCCGUAUGUCUAACCGCUCUCCACCCAAUGGUCUUCCUCCGCUGCAAUUUUAGUCACGGUCACUGCUGCUGCUACCUGUGCUACUCGAACCAACCGUCACCGGCGGCGUUGUCACAACAUGAGCCUCGGGUACGAUAGGCUCGAGCUGUUAUGCUUGUCGAGUCAGGAAAACGUCGGCACAAGUAGCUGUUCAACAGGUAUGUCAUGGAACCGUAGUUGUUGGUGCCGGUACUAUCGCCUCAACACGACCGGCUGUCGGGACGAUGGUACGCGGCUCGUCAGAUGACUAAAGUCUUCUGGCACUCCUGACGACCCGAGUUCCCCAACUUAGCCCAAGUGGUGUACACCACCGUUGGACCCAACCGUGAGUAGAACCUCGUGUUAAUUUACCUUUAGUCAUCGUUUUGGUGUUAGACGUAUCACCAUUAGAUUAGGAUCUUAAAUCGAAGUAAAUAUAUAA
RNAcentral lists this ribosomal RNA (2076 nucleotides) under Triticum aestivum (bread wheat). Its description in RNAcentral is "partial small subunit ribosomal RNA". The record is from RNAcentral. Lineage: Eukaryota; Viridiplantae; Streptophyta; Magnoliopsida; Poales; Poaceae.